UACGGAAGGCAGCAGUGGGGAAUAUUGCACAAUGGGCGCAAGCCUGAUGCAGCCAUGCCGCGUGUAUGAAGAAGGCCUUCGGGUUGUAAAGUACUUUCAUCGGGGAGGAAAAACAAAACUAAUAAUUUUAUUUUCUUGACGUUACCCGAAAAAGAAGCACCGGCUAACUCCGUGCCAGCAGCCGCGGUAAUACGGAGGGUGCUAGCGUUAAUCAGAAUUACUGGGCGUAAAGAGCACGUAGGUGGUUUUUUUAAGUUCAGAUGUGAAAUCCCUGGGCUUAACCUAGGAACUGCAUUUUGAAACUAGAAAUACUAGAGUAUCGUAGAGGGAGGUAGAAUUCUAGGUGUAGCGGUGAAAUGCGUAGAUAUCUGGAGGAAUACCUGUGGCGAAAGCGGCCGUCCUAAACGAAUACUGACACUGAGGUGCGAAAGCGUGGGGAGCAAACAGGGAUUAGAUACC
This 459-nucleotide ribosomal RNA is filed under the name uncultured bacterium. RNAcentral's name for it is "bacterial SSU rRNA". It matches the Rfam family "Bacterial small subunit ribosomal RNA", at positions 340 to 786 of the family's 1533-position model. The record is from RNAcentral.